AAAGGAAUAGACGGGGACCCGCACAAGCAGCGGAGCAUGUGGUUUAAUUCGAAGCAACGCGAAGAACCUUACCAGGGCUUGACAUCCCCCCGACCGUCCCGUAAAAGGGGCUUCCCUUCGGGGCGGGGGAGACAGGUGGUGCAUGGUUGUCGUCAGCUCGUGUCGUGAGAUGUUGGGUUAAGUCCCGCAACGAGCGCAACCCUUGUCAUUAGUUGCCAUCAUUGAGUUGGGCACUCUAAUGAGACUGCCGGGGAUAACUCGGAGGAAGGUGGGGAUGACGUCAAAUCAUCAUGCCCCUUAUGUUCUGGGCUACACACGUGCUACAAUGGCCGGUACAACGAGAAGCGAAGCCGCGAGGCGGAGCGAAUCUCCAAAACCGGUCCCAGUUCGGAUUGCAGGCUGCAACUCGCCUGCAUGAAGUCGGAGUUGCUAGUAAUCGCGGAUCAGAACGCCGCGGUGAAUGCGUUCCCGGGUCUUGUACACACCGCCCGU
This 492-nucleotide ribosomal RNA is filed under the name uncultured bacterium. Its description in RNAcentral is "bacterial SSU rRNA". It matches the Rfam family "Bacterial small subunit ribosomal RNA", at positions 903 to 1397 of the family's 1533-position model. The record is from RNAcentral.